UUAGCAAGCCGAACUAUCGCUUUUCCCGCUUGCGGGGAGGGAGGAAAGUCCGAACACUUAUUUGAUGGCCUCAUAUGAGUCAUCAAAACUAGUAGCGGGUAACGCCCGUCAGGGGUAACCCUAGAGGUGCGAACAGUGACGCCGGCGGCGAAAGCCAAAGGCAUCCCUCGUGGAUGAACCUGUAUGGUGACAUACAGGGUGAAACGGCUAAAUCCUUACUUGAGUGCAAUGCCAAAUUUGGUAGGCAGCUUGAGCCCGGUAGCAAUGCCGUGGACAGAUAGAUGAUAGUGUUAAAACAGAAUUCGGCUUACGAGCUUGCUAAGAGC
Molecule: RNase P RNA, 326 nt
Filed under: Candidatus Doudnaibacteriota bacterium
Lineage: Bacteria; Candidatus Doudnaibacteriota
Description: Candidatus Doudnabacteria bacterium RNase P RNA component class A
Rfam family: Bacterial RNase P class A
About the family: Ribonuclease P (RNase P) is a ubiquitous endoribonuclease, found in archaea, bacteria and eukarya as well as chloroplasts and mitochondria. Its best characterised activity is the generation of mature 5'-ends of tRNAs by cleaving the 5'-leader elements of precursor-tRNAs.
Source: RNAcentral